RNAcentral lists this ribosomal RNA (127 nucleotides) under uncultured bacterium. Its description in RNAcentral is "partial 16S ribosomal RNA". The record is from RNAcentral.
AGCCGAGGCUUAUUCAUCUGGUACCGUCAUUUUGUUCUUCCCAGAUAAAAGGGGUUUACAACCCUAAGGCCAUUCCUCCCCCACGCGGUCUUGCUCCGUCAGGCUUGCGCCCAUUGCGGAAAAUUCC